UGGGGAAUAUUGCACAAUGGGCGCAAGCCUGAUGCAGCCAUGCCGCGUGUAUGAAGAAGGCCUUAGGGUUGUAAAGCACUUUCAGCGAGGAGGAAGGCGUUGUAGUUAAUAGCUGCAACGAUUGACGUUACUCGCAGAAGAAGCCCCGGCUAACUCCGUG
RNAcentral lists this ribosomal RNA (160 nucleotides) under uncultured Enterobacteriaceae bacterium. RNAcentral's name for it is "partial 16S ribosomal RNA". It matches the Rfam family "Bacterial small subunit ribosomal RNA", at positions 355 to 507 of the family's 1533-position model. The record is from RNAcentral. Lineage: Bacteria; Pseudomonadati; Pseudomonadota; Gammaproteobacteria; Enterobacterales; Enterobacteriaceae.